Molecule: ribosomal RNA, 468 nt
Filed under: uncultured bacterium
Lineage: Bacteria
Description: partial 16S ribosomal RNA
Rfam family: Bacterial small subunit ribosomal RNA
Source: RNAcentral
GAUGAACGCUGGCGGCGUGCUUAACACAUGCAAGUCGAACGGUGAAGGCGGAGCUUGCUCUGCUGGAUCAGUGGCGAACGGGUGAGUAACACGUGAGCAAUCUGCCCCUGACUCUGGGAUAAGCGCUGGAAACGGCGUCUAAUACUGGAUACGAGCUGCGAAGGCAUCUUCAGCAGCUGGAAAGAACUUCGGUCAGGGAUGAGCUCGCGGCCUAUCAGCUUGUUGGUGAGGUAACGGCUCACCAAGGCGUCGACGGGCAGCCGGCCUGAGAGGGUGACCGGCCACACUGGGACUGAGACACGGCCCAGACUCCUACGGGAGGCAGCAGUGGGGAAUAUUGCACAAUGGGCGAAAGCCUGAUGCAGCAACGCCGCGUGAGGGACGACGGCCUUCGGGUUGUAAACCUCUUUUAGCAGGGAAGAAGCGAAAGUGACGGUACCUGCAGAAAAAGCGCCGGCUAACUACGUG